CCCUACGGGUGGCUGCAGUGGGGAAUAUUGGACAAUGGGCGCAAGCCUGAUCCAGCCAUGCCGCGUGAGUGAUGAAGGCCUUAGGGUUGUAAAGCUCUUUCGGCGGGGAAGAUAAUGACGGUACCCGCAGAAGAAGCCCCGGCUAACUUCGUGCCAGCAGCCGCGGUAAUACGAAGGGGGUUAGCGUUGCUCGGAAUCACUGGGCGUAAAGCGCACGUAGGCGGGUUGCUAAGUCAGGGGUGAAAUCCUGGAGCUCAACGCCAGAACUGCCUUUGAUACUGGCGACCUUGAGUCCGGGAGAGGUGAGUGGAACUGCGAGUGUAGAGGUGAAAUUCGUAGAUAUUUGCAAGAACACCAGUGGCGAAGGCGGCUCACUGGCCCGGUACUGACGCUGAGGUGCGAAAGCGUGGGGAGCAAACAGGAUUAGAUACCCGAGUAGUC
Molecule: ribosomal RNA, 441 nt
Filed under: uncultured Rhodoplanes sp.
Lineage: Bacteria; Pseudomonadati; Pseudomonadota; Alphaproteobacteria; Hyphomicrobiales; Nitrobacteraceae
Description: bacterial SSU rRNA
Rfam family: Bacterial small subunit ribosomal RNA
Source: RNAcentral